GCCUUCGUGGUGUAGUGGUCAGCACACUCAACGAGUAACCGAGAGGUCCGUGGUUCGAUUCCUGGCGAAGGCG
Non-coding RNA from Stegodyphus mimosarum, 73 nucleotides. The record is from Rfam. Lineage: Eukaryota; Metazoa; Arthropoda; Arachnida; Araneae; Eresidae.